GAUGAACGCUGGCGGCGUGCCUAAUACAUGCAAGUCGAGCGAACGGACGAGAAGCUUGCUUCUCUGAUGUUAGCGGCGGACGGGUGAGUAACACGUGGAUAACCUACCUAUAAGACUGGGAUAACUUCGGGAAACCGUAGCUAAUACCGGAUAAUAUUUUGAACCGCAUGGUUCAAAAGUGAAAGACGGUCUUGCUGUCACUUAUAGAUGGAUCCGCGCUGCAUUAGCUAGUUGGUAAGGUAACGGCUUACCAAGGCAACGAUGCAUAGCCGACCUGAGAGGGUGAUCGGCCACACUGGGACUGAGACACGGUCCAGACUCCUACGGGAGGCAGCAGUAGGGAAUCUUCCGCAAUGGGCGCAAGCCUGACGGAGCAACGCCGCGUGAGUGAUGAAGGUCUUCGGAUCGUAAAACUCUGUUAUUAGGGAAGAACAUAUGCGUAAGUAACUGUGCACAUCUUGACGGUACCUAAUCAGAAAGCCACGGCUAACUACGUG
Molecule: ribosomal RNA, 497 nt
Filed under: uncultured bacterium
Lineage: Bacteria
Description: partial 16S ribosomal RNA
Rfam family: Bacterial small subunit ribosomal RNA
Source: RNAcentral